This 73-nucleotide transfer RNA is filed under the name Fibrobacter sp. RNAcentral describes it as "tRNA-Thr". It matches the Rfam family "tRNA". Rfam says of the family: Transfer RNA (tRNA) molecules are approximately 80 nucleotides in length. Their secondary structure includes four short double-helical elements and three loops (D, anti-codon, and T loops). Further hydrogen bonds mediate the characteristic L-shaped molecular structure. tRNAs have two regions of fundamental functional importance: the anti-codon, which is responsible for specific mRNA codon recognition, and the 3' end, to which the tRNAs corresponding amino acid is attached (by aminoacyl-tRNA synthetases). tRNAs cope with the degeneracy of the genetic code in two manners: having more than one tRNA (with a specific anti-codon) for a particular amino acid; and 'wobble' base-pairing, i.e. permitting non-standard base-pairing at the 3rd anti-codon position. Lineage: Bacteria; Pseudomonadati; Fibrobacterota; Fibrobacteria; Fibrobacterales; Fibrobacteraceae. The record is from RNAcentral.
GCCACUGUAGCUCAGUUGGUAGAGCCCGCCAUUCGUAAUGGCGCUGUCGAAGGUUCGAGUCCUUUCGGUGGCU